AGUGAACGCUGGCGGUAUGCCUAACACAUGCCAGUCGAACGGCAGCACAGGAAGUGCUUGCUCUUGGGGGGGGGGGGUGGGGGGCGGGAGAGAAAUGCAUCUGACUCUACUUUUUGGUGGGGGCGGACGAAGGGAGACUUACACUACUACCGCAUACGGCCUACGAGUGAGGGCACGGCAGCUUCGGCCCUUGAGCGAUUGACGGUGGCGAUGUCGGAUUAGCUAGUUGGCGGGGUAAAGGCCUACCAAGGCGACGAUCCGUAGCUGGUCUGAGAGGACGACCAGCCACACUGGAACUGAGACACGGCCCAGACUCCUACGGGAGGCAGCAGUGGGGAAUUUUGGACAAUGGGCGAAAGCCUGAUCCAGCAAUGCCGCGUGUGUGAAGAAGGCCUUCGGGUUGUAAAGCACUUUUGUCCGGAAAGAAAAGCUUGGGCCUAAUACGGUCGGGGGAUGACGGUACCGGAAGAAUAAGCACCGGCUAACUACGUG
Molecule: ribosomal RNA, 492 nt
Filed under: uncultured bacterium
Lineage: Bacteria
Description: partial 16S ribosomal RNA
Rfam family: Bacterial small subunit ribosomal RNA
Source: RNAcentral